UACGUAGGGGUCUAGCGUUGUUCGGAAUUACUGGGUGUAAAGGGUUCGUAGGCGGUGUGGCAAGUCGGGAGUGAAAUCUCUGGGCUCAACUCAGAGACUGCUUCCGAAACUGCUGUGCUGGAGUGUGGGAGAGGCGCGUGGAAUUGCAGGUGUAGCGGUGAAAUGCGUAGAUAUCUGCAGGAACACCCGUGGCGAAAGCGGCGCGCUGGACCACUACUGACGCUGAGGAACGAAAGCUAGGGGAGCAAACAGG
RNAcentral lists this ribosomal RNA (253 nucleotides) under uncultured bacterium. RNAcentral's name for it is "partial 16S ribosomal RNA". It matches the Rfam family "Bacterial small subunit ribosomal RNA", at positions 524 to 776 of the family's 1533-position model. The record is from RNAcentral.